Molecule: microRNA precursor, 173 nt
Filed under: Pelobates cultripes (western spadefoot toad)
Lineage: Eukaryota; Metazoa; Chordata; Amphibia; Anura; Pelobatidae
Source: RNAcentral
CAGCAGACACAUUCCAGCCAAUCAGCAGCAGACCCUCCCUCCCAGACCCUCUCACCUCCUGGACAGCAUCCAUUUUACAUUCAUUGUGAAGCUGCAUUCUUAGUGAGCUGUCCAGGAGGUGGGAGGGUCUGGGAGGGAGGGUCUGCUGGUGAUUGGCUGGAAUGUGUCUGCUG